Molecule: ribosomal RNA, 421 nt
Filed under: uncultured bacterium
Lineage: Bacteria
Description: bacterial SSU rRNA
Rfam family: Bacterial small subunit ribosomal RNA
Source: RNAcentral
AAGGAAUAUUGGACAAUGGAGGCAACUCUGAUCCAGCCAUGCCGCGUGAAGGAAUAAGGCCCUAUGGGUUGUAAACUUCUUUUAGACGGGACAAAACCCCUUUACGUGUAAAGGGUUGAUGGUACUGUCAGAAUAAGCAUCGGCUAACUUCGUGCCAGCAGCCGCGGUAAUACGAAGGAUGCAAGCGUUAUCCGGAAUUAUUGGGUUUAAAGGGUGCGUAGGCGGACUAAUAAGUCAGUGGUGAAAGCCUGCAGCUUAACUGCAGAAUUGCCAUUGAUACUGUUAGUCUUGAGUACAGUUGAGGUAGGCGGAAUGUGUCAUGUAGCGGUGAAAUGCUUAGAUAUGACAUAGAACACCAAUUGCGAAGGCAGCUUACUACAUAUAAAUUGACGCUGAGGCACGAAAGCGUGGGGAUCAAACA